Molecule: transfer RNA, 72 nt
Filed under: Candidatus Vampirococcus lugosii
Lineage: Bacteria; Candidatus Absconditibacteriota
Description: tRNA-Thr
Rfam family: tRNA
About the family: Transfer RNA (tRNA) molecules are approximately 80 nucleotides in length. Their secondary structure includes four short double-helical elements and three loops (D, anti-codon, and T loops).
Source: RNAcentral
GCCAGCUUAGCUCAGUGGUAGAGCAACCGCCUUGUAAGCGGUAGGUCGUGGGUUCAAGUCCCACAGCUGGCU